Molecule: long non-coding RNA, 729 nt
Filed under: Helianthus annuus (common sunflower)
Lineage: Eukaryota; Viridiplantae; Streptophyta; Magnoliopsida; Asterales; Asteraceae
Description: hypothetical non coding rna
Source: RNAcentral
AUUCUUUAAAGACUUAGUUAUUUUUAAAACCAUCGGUGACAACCGCUUGCUAAAAGGGGUCGCCUGCUCGUUGUCGUAGUCCGCUGCCACGGAUGAACUAGGGCACGCCUGCAUUAUUCACUCUAACCGUUGGCCAUACUGUGUCGCGAAGGUGAAGCUGCCACGCUUCUCUUCUCCGCCGCGCGCGAGUAACUCUGCCGCCAGAGCACACCGCCCGUCAUAAACUGCCGCGAGUGACUCUGCGCGCGAGUAACUUGCCAGACGUUACCCCGCUCGAGUAACUUGCCAGAGGUUACCCCGCGCGAGUAACUUGCCAGACGUUACCCCGCGCGAGUAACUCCGUCACGCGAGUACACCCGCUUGCCGGACACGCUACACGCAGCGCGAGUACACCCGCUUGUGGGAUACAAUACGCGCCGGGCGAGUACACCACUUGUCGGAUACACUCUUCACCGUCAGGACGCCAUUUAACGGACAACCCUUGUUGCGGGGGUAUGCUUAGUCCGUCAGGACGCUGUACUCAGUCCGCCAUGACCCUGUGUAUGGAGUUACCUCGGGCUUCACAAGUCAGUUUUUGAAAUUUGCCCCACCACUCUCAACAUUUCAUAUAAAUAACCCCUACAUAUCCUAUAAAUAGGACACCUUUAAUCUUGUAAUCUCUGACACAUUUUGUCAUGUAAAUUGGUGUCCGUUAUUUUAAUUACAAAAAUAUAUACAUAAGAAUUAUGG